This is a non-coding RNA of Pelobates cultripes (western spadefoot toad), 211 nucleotides long. NCBI's taxonomy places the organism in Eukaryota, Metazoa, Chordata, Amphibia, Anura, Pelobatidae. The record is from the annotation of a GenBank genome assembly.
UAGGCAGCUAGACUAAGAUAACAAUGUUUCCUUUGGAGUCACAGAACAGGUCUGUCAGUGUGAUGUGUAUUUCCACCAGGCUGAAUAAUUCUUCUUCAUAGUAUGGGUCAGGACCUGAGGUAUCUCUGAACCACAGGGUGCAAUGUAAUUGGCUCUCGGGCUGUUCAUCAUGUGGAACUGUGGGCUUUUCUACUUGAAGUUCCAUGUGAAC